This is a long non-coding RNA of Oncorhynchus tshawytscha (Chinook salmon), 1246 nucleotides long. NCBI's taxonomy places the organism in Eukaryota, Metazoa, Chordata, Actinopteri, Salmoniformes, Salmonidae. The record is from Ensembl.
AUGGUAAUUUAGGGCCUGAAUUACCCAUAAACGAUACAUUAAUAGACACAGCAAUGUCAUAUUUGGCAAAUUACACUUUAUUCAAACAAAUGUAUAAAACCUGUUCUGAGAUAAAUCUGGAUUGCUCAUAAAUGGAUUUGAUUAAUUGUCCAAAUUAAUCAAAUUAUAUCACAUUAUAUCACAUUUAAAAUGUACAUCAAAACCCCUAAAUUGGUCAAUAAACAAAUGAAGGCAUUUAAAAAAAUUGUUUUAAAUCUUCAACAUUCAAACACGUCUUUAUUGUUACUAUUAACAAUGAAUAAUGAAUAUAAAUAUAGUGCACUAUUAUCAGGUGCCUUUUAGACACAACCUUAGGUUCACAGAAAUAUGUAAAAAUCAUCCCCUUAAAUAAAUAUCAUGAUUGUCAUUAUUUCACUGUGCGUUUAAACUUCUCUUCAACAAGACGUGAAUCACAGGACAAGAUAUCAACCGAAACAGGAUAAGAUGUCAAACUGAAACAGGACAAGAUAUCAACCGAAACAGGACAAGAUGUCAAACUGAAACAGGACAAGAUAUCAAACUGAAACAGGACAAGAUGUCAAACUGAAACAGGACAAGAUGUCAAACCGAAACAGGACAAGAUGUCAAACUGAAACAGGACAAGAUGUCAAACCGAAACAGGACAAGAUGUCAAACUGAAACAGGACAAGAUGUCAAACUGAAACAGGACAAGAUGUCAAACCGAAACAGGACAAGAUGUCAAACUGAAACAUCAGUGAAUAUAUUUUUAGAACCACAUUAACAACAAGGAGGACAAGAAUUCACAUUGUUGUUGUCAUGAAAAACCAUGACUAGUUAAAUAAAGGUUAAAUACAACAACAAAAACCAUCACCCUAUUCCCUAUAUAGUUCACUACUUUCCCUAUAUAGUGCAAAACUGACCAGAGCCCUAUUACCUACAGGCCCUAGGCAAAAGUAGUGCACUAUAUAGGGAAUAGUGUGCCAUUUGGGAAGCAUGAAACUGAGGUCAAGAGAAGAGUCCAGUCUGAAGACAGCGACAGGUCAAUGCAGGUUACAACCUCUUAAUGACAGGUCAUAGCAGGAGACUUCACCAGGUGGGAGCCAGCCAAUUUAGACACUCUAACGCCAAUUCAUACCCUAGAAAACAGGCCUGAGGGAGACAGAGAGGAGAUCAGAGCAGAAAGAACCCUAGAAAGAAAAUGAUGGGUUAUGGAUGCUGAUAGGUGGGUUGGUGUGGUACUAGAUGC